This 77-nucleotide transfer RNA is filed under the name Patescibacteria group bacterium. Its description in RNAcentral is "tRNA-Arg". It matches the Rfam family "tRNA". Rfam says of the family: Transfer RNA (tRNA) molecules are approximately 80 nucleotides in length. The record is from RNAcentral.
GUCCCCGUAGCUCAGUUGGAUAGAGCGCAGGCUUGCGGAGCCUGAGGCCAGAGGUUCAAUUCCUCUCGGGGACGCCA